GAUCAGGUAGGGAUACCCGGCUGACUUAAGCAUAUCAAAUUAAGCGAGCCCGCU
Molecule: ribosomal RNA, 54 nt
Filed under: Pyrenophora teres
Lineage: Eukaryota; Fungi; Ascomycota; Dothideomycetes; Pleosporales; Pleosporaceae
Description: partial 28S ribosomal RNA
Source: RNAcentral